GUGUCAGCAGCCGCGGUAAUACGUAGGGUGCAAGCGUUAAUCGGAAUUACUGGGCGUAAAGCGUGCGCAGGCGGUUAUAUAAGACAGAUGUGAAAUCCCCGGGCUCAACCUGGGAACUGCAUUUGUGACUGUAUAGCUAGAGUACGGUAGAGGGGGAUGGAAUUCCGCGUGUAGCAGUGAAAUGCGUAGAUAUGCGGAGGAACACCGAUGGCGAAGGCAAUCCCCUGGACCUGUACUGACGCUCAUGCACGAAAGCGUGGGGAGCAAACAGGAUUAGAUACCCUGGUAGUCCACGCCCUAAACGAUGUCAACUGGUUGUUGGGUCUUAACUGACUCAGUAACGAAGCUAACGCGUGAAGUUGACCGCCUGGGGAGUACGGCCGCAAGGUUGAAACUUAAAUGAAUUGACGGGG
Molecule: ribosomal RNA, 413 nt
Filed under: uncultured prokaryote
Description: bacterial SSU rRNA
Rfam family: Bacterial small subunit ribosomal RNA
Source: RNAcentral